UAGUCUGGUGCCAGCAGCCGCGGUAAGACGGAGGAUGCAAGUGUUAUCCGGAAUCACUGGGCGUAAAGCGUCUGUAGGUGGUUUAGUAAGUCUAUUGUUAAAUCUUGAGGCUCAACUUCAAAUCAGCAAUGGAAACUGCUAGACUCGAGUAUGGUAGAGGUAAGAGGAAUUUCCAGUGGAGCGGUGAAAUGCGUAGAUAUUGGAAAGAACACCGAUGGCGAAGGCAUCUUACUGGGCCAUUACUGACACUCAGAGACGAAAGCUAGGGUAGCAAAUGGGAUUAGAUACCCCAGUAGUCCUAGCAGUAAACGAUGGAUACUAGAUGUUGCCCGUAUCAACCCGUGCAGUGUCAAAGCUAACGCGUUAAGUAUCCCGCCUGGGAAGUAUGCUCGCAAGAGUGAAACUCAAAGGAAUUGACGGGGGCCCGCACAAGCGGUGGAGCAUGUGGUUUAAUUUGAUGCAACGCGAAGAACCUUACCAGGGUUUGACAUGACAUGAAUUCUUCUGAGAAGAAGAAGUGCCUUUUAGGAACAUGUACACAGGUGGUGCAUGGCCGUUCUU
This 561-nucleotide ribosomal RNA is filed under the name uncultured picoeukaryote. RNAcentral describes it as "bacterial SSU rRNA". It matches the Rfam family "Bacterial small subunit ribosomal RNA", at positions 498 to 1056 of the family's 1533-position model. The record is from RNAcentral.